UCCGGCUUAUCACCGGCAGUUCCCUUAAAGUGCCCAACUGAAUGAUGGCAAUUAAGAGUGAGGGUUGCGCUCGUUGCGGGACUUAACCCAACAUCUCACGACACGAGCUGACGACAGCCAUGCAGCACCUGUGUGGGAGCCAGCCAAACUGAAGGGAUACGUUUCUGUAUCCCAAACUCCCCAUGUCAAGGCCUGGUAAGGUUCUUCGCGUUGCCUCGAAUUAAACCACAUGCUCCACCGCUUGUGCGGGUCCCCGUCAAUUCCUUUGAGUUUUAAUCUUGCGACCGUACUCCCCAGGCGGAGUGCUUAAUGCGUUAGCGGCGCCACCGAACCCUACGGGCCCGACGGCUAGCACUCAUCGUUUAUGGCGUGGACUAC
This 378-nucleotide unclassified non-coding RNA is filed under the name uncultured Alphaproteobacteria bacterium. RNAcentral describes it as "contains 16S-23S intergenic spacer region". The record is from RNAcentral. Lineage: Bacteria; Pseudomonadati; Pseudomonadota; Alphaproteobacteria.